Molecule: small nuclear RNA, 160 nt
Organism: Vicugna pacos (alpaca)
Lineage: Eukaryota; Metazoa; Chordata; Mammalia; Artiodactyla; Camelidae
Gene: U1
Rfam family: U1 spliceosomal RNA
About the family: U1 is a small nuclear RNA (snRNA) component of the spliceosome (involved in pre-mRNA splicing). Its 5' end forms complementary base pairs with the 5' splice junction, thus defining the 5' donor site of an intron.
Source: Ensembl
GUUUUGUGCUAGUGGGGUACUAAUACAUGAUCAGGACGGCAGUUUUCCCAGCAUGAAGCUUAUCUGUUGCACUCCAGGUGUGCUGACCCCUGUCACUUCCUCAAAUGUGGGAAACACUGCGUAACUUGUGGUAGUUGGGGACUGCGUUCUCAGCCUCCUC